This 301-nucleotide ribosomal RNA is filed under the name uncultured bacterium. RNAcentral describes it as "partial 16S ribosomal RNA". It matches the Rfam family "Bacterial small subunit ribosomal RNA", at positions 509 to 809 of the family's 1533-position model. The record is from RNAcentral.
CAGCAGCCGCGGUAAUACGUAGGGUGCGAGCGUUGUCCGGAAUUAUUGGGCGUAAAGAGCUUGUAGGCGGUUUGUCGCGUCUGCUGUGAAAAUCUGGGGCUUAACCCUGGACGUGCAGUGGGUACGGGCAGACUAGAGUGUGGUAGGGGAGACUGGAAUUCCUGGUGUAGCGGUGGAAUGCGCAGAUAUCAGGAGGAACACCGAUGGCGAAGGCAGGUCUCUGGGCCAUUACUGACGCUGAGAAGCGAAAGCAUGGGGAGCGAACAGGAUUAGAUACCCGCGUAGUCCCUGUCUCUUAUAA